UGCCAGCCGCCGCGGUAAUACGGAGGGUCCAAGCGUUAUCCGGAUUUAUUGGGUUUAAAGGGUCCGUAGGCGGGUCAUUAAGUCAGUGGUGAAAUCCUACAGCUCAACUGUAGAACUGCCAUUGAAACUGAUGACCUUGAAUAUAAUUGAAGUGGGCGGAAUGUGUCAUGUAGCGGUGAAAUGCUUAGAUAUGACACAGAACACCGAUUGCGAAGGCAGCUCACUAAACUAUCACUGACGCUGAGGUACGAAAGCGUGGGGAGCGAACAGGAUUAGAUA
This 279-nucleotide ribosomal RNA is filed under the name uncultured bacterium. RNAcentral's name for it is "partial 16S ribosomal RNA". It matches the Rfam family "Bacterial small subunit ribosomal RNA", at positions 506 to 784 of the family's 1533-position model. The record is from RNAcentral.